RNAcentral lists this ribosomal RNA (394 nucleotides) under uncultured bacterium. Its description in RNAcentral is "bacterial SSU rRNA". It matches the Rfam family "Bacterial small subunit ribosomal RNA", at positions 29 to 426 of the family's 1533-position model. The record is from RNAcentral.
AUUGAACGCUGGCGGAAUGCUUUACACAUGCAAGUCGAGCGGCAGCGCGGGGCAACCUGGCGGCGAGCGGCGAACGGGUGAGUAACAUAUCGGAACGUACCCAGUCGUGGGGGAUAACUAUCCGAAAGGAUAGCUAAUACCGCAUACGACCUGAGGGUGAAAGCGGGGGAUCGCAAGACCUCGCGCGAUGGGAGCGGCCGAUAUCGGAUUAGCUUGUUGGUGAGGUAAAGGCUCACCAAGGCGACGAUCCGUAGCUGGUCUGAGAGGACGACCAGCCACACUGGAACUGAGACACGGUCCAGACUCCUACGGGAGGCAGCAGUGGGGAAUUUUGGACAAUGGGGGCAACCCUGAUCCAGCCAUUCCGCGUGAGUGAAGAAGGCCUUCGGGUUGU